UGCGCGCACGAGCGAAUACGCGCGCGCGCGCGCGCGCGACACGUCGAGUUUUAAACCAACCAAAAAUCGAAAUGCUAGGAGUAGUGGAAAGGAAACAUGUUUCAGUCCCAUGCUGGAUGAUGGACUUUAUCGUUGACAUCCCGCAUAAUAAUAAAGAAGAAAAGUAGCACUACAGUCCAACCCCCACGGGAGGGGUUGUUGUUCAACAACCUACCCCGGGAACAACGAUUUCGACCUAACGGGAUUCUCCGUACGAACAGUUUUCUCUUCCCUGCCGCAAUUGAUGGUGUAAGGGAAGAAAGGAAGAAAGGAGAGAGAGAAAAAAAAGAAGGUGG
RNAcentral lists this long non-coding RNA (335 nucleotides) under Polistes fuscatus (common paper wasp). Its description in RNAcentral is "uncharacterized LOC122516620". Lineage: Eukaryota; Metazoa; Arthropoda; Insecta; Hymenoptera; Vespidae. The record is from RNAcentral.